CUUGAGUGAUCGCUUAGGAAUGAAUGUGAUUUGAACUCAUUCAUGUUGAGAGGGUGUCAAAUUGAGAACCAGGUAGAUCCCCACCACCUACAGUAAAAAGGACCCUAAAGUAAAUUGGUUGAAGAAAUUAGAUCCCAAAGAUUCUUGGUGAAUUUUGAAGUCUUCAUCAGUAUAUCCAUAUUAAAACGAGAUGACAGAAGCCAAAGUAAUUAUGGGCAAACUUGAAGAUAAAUCUUUUGACUCCAGCUCUUUAGAGGAUCUAAAGUGACCUUGAUGGACAGUGGAAGAAAUCACAACAUGGAAUUCCUCGAAUAACAAUUUAUUGACUUUAAAUAAUUUUGUCUAAUGCUACAUAUACACAAUUAAAAAACCUUUACACUAUUUCUAGAAAGUCAGCAUGUAUUUUUGGCUCGAAGUUUCUCUAGUGUUUUCUGUGGAAGGAAUAAAAAUUUGAGUUUC
This 459-nucleotide long non-coding RNA is filed under the name Homo sapiens (human). RNAcentral's name for it is "HSALNT0179793". Lineage: Eukaryota; Metazoa; Chordata; Mammalia; Primates; Hominidae. The record is from RNAcentral.